This is a long non-coding RNA of Amblyraja radiata (thorny skate), 155 nucleotides long. RefSeq lists it as uncharacterized. NCBI's taxonomy places the organism in Eukaryota, Metazoa, Chordata, Chondrichthyes, Rajiformes, Rajidae. The transcript is spliced from 4 exons. The record is from RefSeq and is a predicted model, not a curated record.
UAAGCUCACAGGGGAAUGUUUUAAAAGACAAGUGUGGGGCAGGUGUUUCUACACUGUUGGUGAUGGGUGCCCGGAACGUGCUGCCAGCUGUGGUGGUGGAGGCAGAUACGAUAGUGGCUUUUAAAAGCGUUUUAGAUAGGCACGCAGGGAAUGGA